RNAcentral lists this ribosomal RNA (403 nucleotides) under uncultured microorganism. RNAcentral describes it as "bacterial SSU rRNA". It matches the Rfam family "Bacterial small subunit ribosomal RNA", at positions 9 to 407 of the family's 1533-position model. The record is from RNAcentral.
GAGUUUGAUCGUGGCUCAGAGUGAACGCUGGCGGUAGGCCUAACACAUGCAAGUCGAACGGCAGCACAGUAAGAGCUUGCUCUUAUGGGUGGCGAGUGGCGGACGGGUGAGGAAUACAUCGGAAUCUACUUUUUCGUGGGGGAUAACGUAGGGAAACUUACGCUAAUACCGCAUACGACCUACGGGUGAAAGCAGGGGAUCUUCGGACCUUGCGCGAUUGAAUGAGCCGAUGUCGGAUUAGCUAGUUGGCGGGGUAAAGGCCCACCAAGGCGACGAUCCGUAGCUGGUCUGAGAGGAUGAUCAGCCACACUGGAACUGAGACACGGUCCAGACUCCUACGGGAGGCAGCAGUGGGAAUAUUGGACAAUGGGCGCAAGCCUGAUCCAGCCAUACCGCGUGGGUG